This 301-nucleotide ribosomal RNA is filed under the name uncultured soil bacterium. Its description in RNAcentral is "bacterial SSU rRNA". It matches the Rfam family "Bacterial small subunit ribosomal RNA", at positions 61 to 366 of the family's 1533-position model. The record is from RNAcentral.
GUCGAACGGCAGCGCGGGGCAACCUGGCGGCGAGUGGCGAACGGGUGAGUAAUAUAUCGGAACGUGCCCUGGAGUGGGGGAUAACGUAGCGAAAGUUACGCUAAUACCGCAUACGAUCUAAGGAUGAAAGUGGGGGAUCGCAAGACCUCAUGCUCGUGGAGCGGCCGAUAUCUGAUUAGCUAGUUGGUAGGGUAAAAGCCUACCAAGGCAUCGAUCAGUAGCUGGUCUGAGAGGACGACCAGCCACACUGGAACUGAGACACGGUCCAGACUCCUACGGGAGGCAGCAGUGGGGAAUUUUG